AUCAACUUUAUCUAAAUUUUGAGAUGUGGAUCUGUCUCAUCAACAUUCUCGCGAGAUUUGGCACGGCGCCCCAUGAAUCUGUCCAAUCAUAUUUGCUCUUCCUGGAAAACACGCAUGCGCAUUUAGUGGGCGAAUGUGACUUGUAUCGAUUGGAGGAAACAAUUCAGCAUCGAAGGAAUAACGACUGAAACAACCUUUGUCUGUAUUCACAUCGUAUUGGAGUGUCAAAAUGACAAAACGAAAACCUGCAAAACGAUGGAGAAGAACCGGUAAAGAAGUUGACUCAAAUAAACGAUCAAGAAGGACUGUACAAUUGCCACCAAUGUGAAUGUGGAGACUGAUGAGCAAUGUCUAAAAGGUAGCAGCAGGGGAACAGAAGGAGUCCAAAACACUGCUCUUCAUAUGGAACACAUCCAACCUCCAGGUGUCCAUGCAGGAUGUACCACUCUGGAACAUCAAACCUCUCCCUACCCACCAGGUACACCCACCGUCUUCUGUGUCUAA
Long non-coding RNA from Nerophis lumbriciformis (worm pipefish), 504 nucleotides. RefSeq lists it as uncharacterized. Lineage: Eukaryota; Metazoa; Chordata; Actinopteri; Syngnathiformes; Syngnathidae. The record is from RefSeq and is a predicted model, not a curated record.